This 1506-nucleotide ribosomal RNA is filed under the name Triticum aestivum (bread wheat). RNAcentral's name for it is "partial small subunit ribosomal RNA". Lineage: Eukaryota; Viridiplantae; Streptophyta; Magnoliopsida; Poales; Poaceae. The record is from RNAcentral.
AUGCGUCCUCCCAGCUCUCCGUCGCCCAUCAGAUCGUACCCAAUACUGCGUCCCCCCAGCCUCAACUCGCCAUCGCCCGUCUGCCUGGCGAUGAGGCAAGCGAAGUCCAGGGUUCUCCUCCCUACCGCCCCGCCUGGGUUCUCGUCCCCGCGCCUCCACAGCAGCCGCGGCCAGGAUUUGGUCGGCGACCUCGGCAGCCACAAGGACGACGGCGACCAAGUGUCCCAGGAUGAUGUUGGAAUAGCACCUGAUUUGGCUUCAGUCGACUUGUCUGCUGGAGAUACCCCAAGGCCCUCUGAGCAGCUAAUGUUGCUAGCCCAGCCUAGCUAUAAGAUGAAGAAUGUGGUGCCAGUUGUCCCCGAGGUCGCCACUUCUACAAGUCAUAACAGCCACGCUAUCGAGCAGACUGCGUGCAAAGGCAAAGGACAAACUGACGCUGAUGUUGUCACUUCGAAAGUUGUAGCCAUUGAAGAAGUGAUUACUGUGGAGGAUGCUGAAGAGCAAGUUCAAAUGGACGUUGAUCCACCUAGUCCAAGGCGAAAUCAAGUGGCGAUGGAUACCGAUCAUGAAACGUUACAAAAAAAUCCGGAAAUUCAGUCGGAUGCAAGUGUCCACGCGCCGACCAGUAUUGUACAAGCGAGUCCAAGUGCCUUGGUGGAUACGGCACCCCGGCCUGCAACGCCUCCCACUAUUCCAUGUGUACUGUAUCCGGUGGCCAGUCUUUCAGUGGAUGAGGAGGUUAGCGCCAGCAAAGGGGCCAUGAUUCAAGUCGAGCUGAUGAACUCCAAGCUGAACGAUGCACUCAAUACAAGUGAGGUUCUGAAAGCUCCUAUCCAAGAAGAAGUAGAAAGUCUCCGUGCGGAACUGGAGAAAGAGAAAAAGAAGAAUGAGAAGCUGGAGAAGGAGAAAGCAAUCAUGGGAGAGUGCCAAAACAAAUACCCCCAGAAGAGAAAAGGAGGAGAAGCAAAUUCCUCCUUUAAAGAUCACCUCCCUCCCCCAAAAAUUUCAAAUCAUAGUACAUAUAACGUGAGGGACAAAACAAGUAAAGGGAUGCUUGAUGUUGAAAUUUUUGAAUUGGAUCUUUGGACGGGCAUACAUCCGGAAAAGAAGAGUGACUAUGCGUACCUUGAUUCGAUGUGGUUUGAUAUGUACAUCAUUGGGAAACAUAAAUCAAAAGUCCUUAAAUGGGUAAAAGCUAAGAAAAUAUUCACAAGAAGAUAUGUAUUUGUCCCCAUUGUUUAUUGGGGACAUUGGAGCCUCCUUGUUUUGUGUAAUUUUGGCGAGACAAACUACUUGGGUACUCCAAAGGGGCCACGCAUUCUACUGUUGGAUUCACUUAGAACAACACAGCCAAAGAGGUUGCCAUCCGUCAUCAACAGGUUCCACAGCAAAGUGGAAAUGAUUGUGGGUGCAUUGUUCGACCCAGAGGUACUACAGAACCUGGAGGACAUCCGCAAGGCUAUUCUCUUAUACCAAGAGAAACAGGAUGCCACUAUUACAGAGUAG